GGCGAACGCUGGCGGCGUGCUUAACACAUGCAAGUCGAACGGAAAGGCCCUGCUUUUGUGGGGUGCUCGAGUGGCGAACGGGUGAGUAACACGUGAGUAACCUGCCCUUGACUUUGGGAUAACUUCAGGAAACUGGGGCUAAUACCGGAUAGGAGCUCCUGCUGCAUGGUGGGGGUUGGAAAGUUUCGGCGGUUGGGGAUGGACUCGCGGCUUAUCAGCUUGUUGGUGGGGUAGUGGCUUACCAAGGCUUUGACGGGUAGCCGGCCUGAGAGGGUGACGGGCCACAUUGGGACUGAGAUACGGCCCAGACUCCUACGGGAGGCAGCAGUGGGGAAUAUUGCACAAUGGGCGGAAGCCUGAUGCAGCAACGCCGCGUGCGGGAUGACGGCCUUCGGGUUGUAAACCGCUUUCGCCUGUGACGAAGCGUGAGUGACGGUAAUGGGUAAAGAAGCACCGGCUAACUACGUG
RNAcentral lists this ribosomal RNA (468 nucleotides) under uncultured bacterium. RNAcentral's name for it is "partial 16S ribosomal RNA". It matches the Rfam family "Bacterial small subunit ribosomal RNA", at positions 28 to 507 of the family's 1533-position model. The record is from RNAcentral.